Cannabis sativa is the source of this 853-nucleotide long non-coding RNA. RefSeq lists it as uncharacterized. The transcript has 2 exons. NCBI's taxonomy places the organism in Eukaryota, Viridiplantae, Streptophyta, Magnoliopsida, Rosales, Cannabaceae. The record is from RefSeq and is a predicted model, not a curated record.
UCACUCAUUAAUUGGUCCAUGUCUUUUAAUUUUUAUUUAUUAUUUAAGAAAUUCAUUGAAAUCUGAAAUUUAUUUUAAAAAAUUAAUAUUAAAAUAACUUAAUUAAAAAAGAAGAAAGAAAAAGAAAAUCCUAACAUCUCUUCCCAAAAUAACUCCUCCCACGCCCUUUCUAGUUCACAUUCUCUCUCUUCCAUUCUCCUUCUUCUCAGGCAAGCUGCAGUGCAGCCUCUCUCCCUCGUCGUCGGCCGAUGGAGUUCUCUCGGCGUCAAUAGUCCCAAGCUCAACAUCAUCUCUCUCUCAUCGGUUUCAAUGGUGGACCACAAUCUCUCUCUCGUCGGUCUCAAUGGUGGACCACAAUCUCUCUCUCUCGUCGGUUUCAAUGGUGGAUCUCUCUCGUCGGUUUCAAUGGUGGACCACAAAGCUAUUCCUUGAUCCACCGUCACCAUGAAGCUUGAGUUCCCUCUGCUCAAUUUCUCCCUCUCUUGUCUCCUUGCCGGAUUCAAUGGCGGAAUCGCCAUCCCCAAGCUCCUCUUGCGAGAAGACGAGAUCUACCUCAAAAAGACCAGAUUUGGAUAUGGGUUUGACUAAAUAGAAGAUUAUAGAGGAGAAAUCUGAAAUGAGGAGCAGACCAUACUGUAUUUUUUUUUUGGUUUCAAUGAGGGAGCUUGAUGAAAUGUUGCUAUUUAUUUGUGUAUAAAUCUGAGUAUAGUCUGUGUAGUUGUAAAGAAUUGGUUUGAAUGCAACAAGUUUGAAUCUGAAAUUUAUUGGCUUGUUUGUAAUUUCUGGGUUUUAUAUAUUUAUGGAUUUGUUUGGAUUUGAGAUUUUAUUUGUUUAUAUAAAUUUGUUUUCUAAA